GCAACAAGAAUAUUACUGAAACAGGUUUGUUUUUCUGUAUAACACCAUGGCCAACCAAAGAAUGAUCUAUUCUAAUAAAUUGUAGAAAAAAUAAAAUAAAGUCUAAAUUUAUUUUGCAAUAAUUUCAAAAUUUGAAGUUAAAAUUUGUAUUAUCAUGUUAAUAUCUAGAGAAAUAAAUUAAUUAUAGUUCAUGCUUGUAUUUUAUCAAUGUUAACGUUCCUCUUAUUUGUAUUAGGCAUUUCAUUAUGAUUGUUGAGGCAUUUUGGGUUGCUAAUCCACUCCCCACCCUU
Molecule: unclassified non-coding RNA, 290 nt
Filed under: Hevea brasiliensis (rubber tree)
Lineage: Eukaryota; Viridiplantae; Streptophyta; Magnoliopsida; Malpighiales; Euphorbiaceae
Source: RNAcentral